GCCGGAUUAGCGCAACAGGUAGAGCACCUCUCUCGUAAAGAGGCGGCGCGGGUUCGAGUCCUGCAUCCGGCU
This 72-nucleotide transfer RNA is filed under the name Mycobacterium avium. RNAcentral's name for it is "tRNA-Thr". It matches the Rfam family "tRNA". Rfam says of the family: Transfer RNA (tRNA) molecules are approximately 80 nucleotides in length. Their secondary structure includes four short double-helical elements and three loops (D, anti-codon, and T loops). The record is from RNAcentral. Lineage: Bacteria; Bacillati; Actinomycetota; Actinomycetes; Mycobacteriales; Mycobacteriaceae. RNAcentral also lists the same sequence under 1 other name.